GGCUGGGGCUCAGUGGUAGAGCUCUCGCCCGGCACGCAUGAAGCACUGGGUUCGAUCCUCAGCACCA
RNAcentral lists this transfer RNA (67 nucleotides) under Marmota monax (woodchuck). Its description in RNAcentral is "tRNA.Ala". The record is from RNAcentral. Lineage: Eukaryota; Metazoa; Chordata; Mammalia; Rodentia; Sciuridae.